This 460-nucleotide ribosomal RNA is filed under the name uncultured bacterium. Its description in RNAcentral is "partial 16S ribosomal RNA". It matches the Rfam family "Bacterial small subunit ribosomal RNA", at positions 338 to 795 of the family's 1533-position model. The record is from RNAcentral.
CCUACGGGUGGCAGCAGUGAGGAAUAUUGGUCAAUGGGCGCGAGCCUGAACCAGCCAAGUAGCGUGAAGGAUGACUGCCCUACGGGUUGUACACUUCUUUUAUGAAGAGGUCGAGUGAGGCACGUGUGCCUUUUUGUAUGUACUUUAUGAAUAAGGCUCGACUAACUCCGUGCCAGCAGCCGCGGUAAUACGGUGGAUCCGAGCGUUAUCCGGAUUUGUUGGGUUUAAAGGGAGCGUAGAUGGGUUGUUAAGUCAGUUGUGAAAGUUUGGGGCGCAACCGUGAAAUUGCACUUGAUACUGGCAGGCUGGAGUAUAGUUGAGGGAGGCAGAAUUCGUGGUGUAGCGGUGAAAUGCGUAGAGAUCACGAAGAACACCGAUUGCGAAGGCAGCCUACUGAACAGCCACUGACAUUGAUGCUCGAAAGCGUGGGUAUCAAACAGGAUUAGAUACCCGGGUAGUC